RNAcentral lists this ribosomal RNA (488 nucleotides) under uncultured bacterium. Its description in RNAcentral is "partial 16S ribosomal RNA". It matches the Rfam family "Bacterial small subunit ribosomal RNA", at positions 28 to 507 of the family's 1533-position model. The record is from RNAcentral.
GACGAACGCUGGCGGCGUGCUUAACACAUGCAAGUCGAACGGAAAGGCCCUGCUUUUGUGGGGUGCUUGAGUGGCGAACGGGUGAGUAACACGUGAGUAACCUGCCCUUGACUUUGGGAUAACUUCAGGAAACUGGGGCUAAUACCGGAUAGGAGCUCCUGCUGCAUGGUGGGGGUUGGAAAGUUUCGGCGGUUGGGGAUGGACUCGCGGCUUAUCAGCUUGUUGGUGGGGUAGUGGCUUACCAAGGCUUUGACGGGUAGCCGGCCUGAGAGGGUGACCGGCCACACAGGAACUGAGACACGGUCCAGACGCAGACGGGAGGCAGCAGGAGGGAAUCUUCCGCAAGGGGCGAAAGCUUGACGGAGCAGCGCCGCGGGAGUGAUGAAGGUCUUCGGAUCGGAAAACCCGGUUAGUAGGGAAGAACAAAUAUGGAAGGAACUAUGCACGGCUGGACGGUACCUAAUCAGAAAGCCACGGCUAACUACGUG